RNAcentral lists this ribosomal RNA (607 nucleotides) under Xenobolus carnifex. RNAcentral describes it as "partial 28S ribosomal RNA". The record is from RNAcentral. Lineage: Eukaryota; Metazoa; Arthropoda; Diplopoda; Spirobolida; Pachybolidae.
UGCAAAGAACUUUGAAGAGAGAGUUCAAGAGUGCGUGAAACCGUUCGGAGGUAAACGGGUGGGACCUCGAAGGUCGAACGGAUGGGGAGGGAUUCAACCCGCUGCCAUGGCACCCAAGCCGUAGCGUUUGCAUUCCAGACUUCGGCCUGGUUGCCCUACGUGCAGUGGCGUGACAGAGUUGCAGCGGGUGCAUUUCCCAGCACCCCCUUCCUAGUAGGACGCCGCGACCGGUUGGAAUGUUGAACGCGGGAGACCAGGAGCGGGGCCAAUGGUAGCUGCACAGGUGCAUUUGGUCGGCGGCAUGUAUGUGCUCCCCGCCGCACCUGCUUGUCUGGCCGGGCCAUGGCGUAGUGUCUCUCACUCCGACCGAGGUUUUAAGUGCGCAUUGGCUCCCUGCAAGGGCCAUGCGUCUUCUAUCGUGCCCUGCAUCCCUUUGCUUGGGUAGACAGAGUCCACCGGGUAGUGCCGGUCUGUCGGGUGUAGUGGUCCCUCGUGGCCGCCACCUGUGCAAGACUUUGGCAACUGCUGUCAGUGAAGGACACAGGCUCCCAACUUUGGGCAUUGAGGGUUCAGCGGCGAGUAGGUUGGUAUCCCACCCGACCCUCUU